Molecule: long non-coding RNA, 291 nt
Organism: Andrographis paniculata
Lineage: Eukaryota; Viridiplantae; Streptophyta; Magnoliopsida; Lamiales; Acanthaceae
Exons: 2
Source: RefSeq, a predicted model, not a curated record
GGGAAAUUACGGCAUCGUUUCCCAUUCGUAUAAUUUGAGCUUCAAAAGUAUAUAAACGGACAACUCAAAACAACACAGCCUCAGGCCAAGCAGAGAGCGGAAGGUUCGCAGAGAUGCUCCCCCGAAUUUCGUAUUGCUGUUCAUCGUAAAAUUUUGGAACUCGGAAGAAUACGAUCGUUUCUGAUUCUAGGACACAUUAAUCGUGUGAAUCGAUUCAGCAAUUCGCAUCGUUUAUUGAAGAAUUUCUAGAAAUUUUAUAUACGUUUCUAAUCGGAAUCAGGCGUUAAUAGA